Molecule: small nuclear RNA, 202 nt
Filed under: Schistocerca americana (American grasshopper)
Lineage: Eukaryota; Metazoa; Arthropoda; Insecta; Orthoptera; Acrididae
Description: U2 spliceosomal RNA
Rfam family: U2 spliceosomal RNA (bases 21-198)
About the family: U2 is a small nuclear RNA (snRNA) component of the spliceosome (involved in pre-mRNA splicing). Complementary binding between U2 snRNA (in an area lying towards the 5' end but 3' to hairpin I) and the branchpoint sequence (BPS) of the intron results the bulging out of an unpaired adenosine, on the BPS, which initiates a nucleophilic attack at the intronic 5' splice site, thus starting the first of two transesterification reactions that mediate splicing.
Source: RNAcentral
AUUUUUGGAGAGGAAAAGGUAGGGCUAUAGGGGAGGUAGGAGGGAAAAAAGUGUACUAUCUGUUCUUAUCAGCUUAAUAUCUGAUACGUCCUGCAUUGCACGACCAGAAUAUUAAACUCAUUUUUGGCUUAUGACGGAGUGCUAGGGGCUUGCUCCACCUCUGUCGCUGCAUUGCAGUACCGUCGGGAUCGGCCCACCUAAU